AGUGAACGCUGGCGGUAGGCCUAACACAUGCAAGUCGAACGGCAGCACAGUAAGAGCUUGCUCUUACGGGUGGCGAGUGGCGGACGGGUGAGGAAUACAUCGGAAUCUACUUUUUCGUGGGGGAUAACGUAGGGAAACUUACGCUAAUACCGCAUACGACCUACGGGUGAAAGCAGGGGAUCUUCGGACCUUGCGCGAUUGAAUGAGCCGGUGUCGGAUUAGCUAGUUGGCGGGGUAAAGGCCCACCAAGGCGACGAUCCGUAGCUGGUCUGAGAGGAUGAUCAGCCACACUGGAACUGAGACACGGUCCAGACUCCUACGGGAGGCAGCAGUGGGGAAUAUUGGACAAUGGGCGCAAGCCUGAUCCAGCCAUACCGCGUGGGUGAAGAAGGCCUUCGGGUUGUAAAGCCCUUUUGUUGGGAAAGAAAAGCAGCAGGUGAAAACCCCGCUGUUCUGACGGUACCCAAAGAAUAAGCACCGGCUAACUUCGUG
RNAcentral lists this ribosomal RNA (492 nucleotides) under uncultured bacterium. RNAcentral describes it as "partial 16S ribosomal RNA". It matches the Rfam family "Bacterial small subunit ribosomal RNA", at positions 29 to 507 of the family's 1533-position model. The record is from RNAcentral.